UGGGGAAUAUUGCACAAUGGGCGAAAGCCUGAUGCAGCAACGCCGCGUGAGUGAUGAAGGUCUUCGGAUUGUAAAGCUCUGUCUUUUGGGACGAUAAUGACGGUACCAAAGGAGGAAGCCACGGCUAACUACGUGCCAGCAGCCGCGGUAAUACGUAGGUGGCGAGCGUUGUCCGGAUUUACUGGGCGUAAAGGGUGCGUAGGCGGAUGUUUAAGUGAGAUGUGAAAUACCCGGGCUUAACUUGGGUGCUGCAUUUCAAACUGGAUAUCUAGAGUGCAGGAGAGGAGAAUGGAAUUCCUAGUGUAGCGGUGAAAUGCAUAGAGAUUAGGAAGAACACCAGUGGCGAAGGCGAUUCUCUGGACUGUAACUGACGCUGAGGCACGAAAGCGUGGGUAGCAAACAGGAUUAGAUACCCUGGUAGUCCACGCCGUAAACGAUGAGUACUAGGUGUAGGAGGUAUCGACCCCUUCUGUGCCGCAGUAAACACAUUAAGUACUCCGCCUGGGAAGUAC
RNAcentral lists this ribosomal RNA (512 nucleotides) under uncultured bacterium. Its description in RNAcentral is "partial 16S ribosomal RNA". It matches the Rfam family "Bacterial small subunit ribosomal RNA", at positions 355 to 883 of the family's 1533-position model. The record is from RNAcentral.